RNAcentral lists this transfer RNA (71 nucleotides) under Mictyris thailandensis. Its description in RNAcentral is "tRNA-Glu". The record is from RNAcentral. Lineage: Eukaryota; Metazoa; Arthropoda; Malacostraca; Decapoda; Mictyridae.
GUUUUUAUGGUGUAGUAAGUAACACAUUGUAUUUUCGUUACAAAACUGAAAUUUUUUUAUUUCUAAAAACU